This 376-nucleotide ribosomal RNA is filed under the name uncultured bacterium. RNAcentral describes it as "bacterial SSU rRNA". It matches the Rfam family "Bacterial small subunit ribosomal RNA", at positions 790 to 1167 of the family's 1533-position model. The record is from RNAcentral.
GUAGUCCACGCCCUAAACGAUGUCAACUGGUUGUCGGGGAAGUAAUUCCUUGGUAACGAAGCUAACGCGUGAAGUUGACCGCCUGGGGAGUACGGCCGCAAGGCUAAAACUCAAAGGAAUUGACGGGGACCCGCACAAGCGGUGGAUUAUGUGGAUUAAUUCGAUGCAACGCGAAAAACCUUACCUACCCUUGACAUGUGCGGAACGGGGUAGAGAUACCUCGGUGCCCGAAAGGGAACCGCAACACAGGUGCUGCAUGGCUGUCGUCAGCUCGUGUCGUGAGAUGUUGGGUUAAGUCCCGCAACGAGCGCAACCCUUGCCAUUAGUUGCUACAUUCAGUUGGGCACUCUAGUGGGACUGCCGGUGACAAACCGGA